Long non-coding RNA from Clupea harengus (Atlantic herring), 1736 nucleotides. The record is from Ensembl. NCBI's taxonomy places the organism in Eukaryota, Metazoa, Chordata, Actinopteri, Clupeiformes, Clupeidae.
GCUGAUUGGCUGCUGCACCUCAUUAGUGAUUUGCUAGUCUACUCCAGCUGCUCUUCUGAUUGGCUGAUCAGCGGCAGACAGGGAGGAGCCCAACAUACCUUAUAACCUCGUGAAGAUAAGCCUUUAGAGUCUGAAGUGAGUGUGUGUGUGUGUUUGUGAUGUAGGGACGCACGGUUAUGAAGUGAGUGUGUGAGUGUGUGUGACGUAGGGCGAGUGUGUGUGUGUGUGUGUGUGAGACGUAGGGCGAGUGUGUGUGUGUGUGUGUGAGACGUAGGGUGAGUGUGUUUGUGUGAGUGCUGAAUUCUGCCUUUCCCUCCCCAAUGCACCAGUCUCUGUGCUAGUGGUCUACUAAAACACACACACACACACACACACACACACACACACACACUGUGCUGAGCGAACUACAGACACACACCCACACACACACACACACACACACACAUUACACACCCUGUGCUGAGCGAACUACAGACACACACACACACACACACAGAGAGACACACACACACACACACACACAGACAGACUGACUGACUACACAACCUUUCAGGCAUGAGGAGCAGAGCUCAGAUAAAGCAGAUCAGCUCCCAGGCAUGACUAACUGAUUGCCAGACAGAUGAGGAGAUCGUUUGAGGUGGUCUGAGAGCACAGGCAGUGGGAUACUUCUGGGUUCAAGUGAUGUCUAUCGUUCCAAAAGCCUAAAUGUGUUUGUUUGUGUGUGUGUGUCUGUGUGCGGAUAAGGUUACAGGAAGCAGGCUUGCUGUAUAAUCUUCUUGCAGACUGUAAACUGGUUGUAAAUGUUUUGGUGUUCUGUGGGAGCGGUUGGCCAGCGUGUGUGUGUGUGUGAGCGUGUGUGUGUGUGUGUGUGUGUGAGAGCGUGUGUGUGUGUGAGAGUGUGAGCGUGUGUGUGUGUUUUGGUGUUCUGUAGGAGCGGUUGGCCAGCGUGUGUGUGUGUGUGUGAGCGCGUGUGUGAACGUGUGUGAGCGUGUGUUUGUGUGAGCGUGUGUGUGUGUGUGUGUGUGUGAGCGUGUGUGUGUGAGAGUGUGUGUGUGUGAGCGUGUGUGUGUGUGUGUGUGUGUGUGAGCGUGUGUGUGUGAGAGUGUGUGUGUGUGAGCGUGUGUGUGUGAGCGUGUGUGUGUGUGUGUGUGUGAGCGCGUGUGUGAACGUGUGUGAGCGUGUGUUUGUGUGAGCGUGUGUGUGUGUGUGUGUGUGAGCCGUUGGCCAGCGCUGGGAAGUGAGACUGUACAGUUCAUGAAUAUUUAUAUAUUUAUGCACUUUAGACCCCACCCUCAUCAUGAAUAUGUAUACAUUUAUGCAGUUUUUAAGACACGCCCCCUCCUCAUGAAUAUUUAUAUAUUUAUGCAUUUUAGACUCCACCUCCUGUUCAUGAAUAGUUGUAUAUGUAUGCACUUUAGACUCCACCCUCCUCAUGAAUAUUUAUAUAUGUAUGCACUUUAGACUCCACCCCUCUUACUCCCGAGGGUGGCACCAUAGUCAUGGAAUGAAACGUUUCCAUGGUGAUAUCUUCAUCCUUCACCUCUGCUUCAUCUUCAGCUGCUGAAAGACAGACAGAGAGAGAGGGAGAGAGAGAGACAGAGAGAGAGAGAGAGAGAGGGAGAGAGAGAGAGAGAGAGAGAGAGAGAGAGAGAGAGAGAGAGAGAGAGAGAGAGAGGGGGAGAGAGAGAGGGGGAGAGAGAGACAGAGAGAGACAGAGAGGGAGAGAGAGAGGGGGA